RNAcentral lists this small RNA (892 nucleotides) under Pongo abelii (Sumatran orangutan). RNAcentral describes it as "retained intron". Lineage: Eukaryota; Metazoa; Chordata; Mammalia; Primates; Hominidae. The record is from RNAcentral.
CGGGAGCAGGUACCUGAGCUGAGGCAGGUGGGGAGAGGGGAGAGGUGGUCCAGUCUAGGGUGCUUGGUUAUCAGCCCUAUCAUUUGUUCUCUAAAACCAGGGUGAAAAAGAGAACAGACUUAACGGGAGCCUUUAGACUGGACCCCACUUACCUGAAGCACAGCCAUCAGGAUUCAGGGCUUAUCACUGACUACCGGCACUGGCAGAUACCACUGGGCCGAAGAUUUCGCUCUUUGAAAAUGUGGUUUGUAUUUAGGAUGUAUGGAGUCAAAGGACUGCAGGCUUAUAUCCGCAAGCAUGUCCAGCUGUCCCAUGAGUUUGAGUCACUGGUGCGCCAGGAUCCCCGCUUUGAAAUCUGUGUGGAAGUCAUUCUGGGGCUUGUCUGCUUUCGGCUAAAGGGUUCCAACAAAGUGAAUGAAGCUCUUCUGCAAAGAAUAAACAGUGCCAAAAAAAUCCACUUGGUUCCAUGUCACCUCAGGGACAAGUUUGUCCUGCGCUUUGCCAUCUGCUCUCGCACCGUGGAAUCUGCCCACGUGCAGCGGGCCUGGGAACACAUCAAAGAGCUGGCGGCCGACGUGCUGCGAGCAGAGAGGGAGUAGGAGUGAAGCCAGCUGCAGGAAUCAAAGGUUGAAGAGAGAUAUAUCUGAAAACUGGAAUAAGAAGCAAAUAAAUAUCAUCCUGGCUUCAUGGAACCAAGUCUGUCUGUGGCUUCCCAUGUCUUUCUCCAAAGUUAUCCAGAGGGUUGUGAUUUUGCCUGCUUAGUGUCUCAUCAACAAAGAAAUAUUAUUUGCUAUAUAAAAAGUUAAUCUUCAUGGCCAUAGCUUUUAUUCAUUAACUGUGAUUUUUGUUGAUUAAAACAUUACAGAUUUUCAUGUUCUUGCAGCCAUCAGAA